UUUUAUCGUGUGAAUGUAAAUGUUGAUGCAUCUAUUUUUUUCUCUCCAAGUAUAAAUAUGUAAAUAAAAAAAUAAAUAUAAUAAAGUGGGUACGAAGUACGAACUGUGGGAGAGGUAACCACGGCGCGGCAACCGGGAGAGAGCACAUCGUUGUGAGCGUUAGCAGAAUCUUGUGCUACGAAUCACUCUCCAAUCCAUCUUCGUUCAAACUUCAAUUUUUAUUCUACAAUGCUUUACAGAGGGUAACCCUAUUUUCUCCCUUUCCUUUCUUUUUUCUCUCUUCACUUUUCUGUUUCCCCUAAUCCAAAUUGGGGCUUUUUUGUUGUAUUUUGCUUUCGAUUCAAAUCUUUAGGGUUUAAUUCAUUAUCUCAUCUAAUUACGUGUUUUAAUUCUCUUUUUCUGUUAUAGUUUAGUUUCUUUUAUGCAAUUCCAACUAUUUUCAAACCUAUUUUUAAUCAAAAGUGGAAAAAGAAUAUUAAAAAUAUCAUUUUCGUGUUAAUUAGAGUGUCUAGUGAUAAGUAGUGAUUUACUUAAGUAUUACUAUGUCAAUAAAGAUUUGUAAUUGAUGCAUAGAAACAAGUGUAACAGGUCAUCUUUUUUAAUAUUAUGAUGACAAGAUUUGGAAUUUUGUAAGUUUAAUUUUGGUUGUUGCAUUCAGAACACUACACUUCCUGAGCAAGUCUUAGUUUUUGUAUUAACAUUGUCAUGGUUCUUUAUGUUGUCUUUCUGGGUUUGUAAGGAGGGACACAUUUGUUGUCAAUAAUCUGUGCCGGAUAAGUUCUUGAUAUAGGUCCAUAUGUCAAGUCAGGGUCCACUUAGAGGGUAAGAGGGAGAGUUAGUUAGUUACACGGAGAGAGAGAUAGAGGAAAGUCGAGUCUAUUAUAUAAACGGGAGAAGAGAAUAUCUAUGCAUCUGGGAGAAUCAUUGUGUUAGAUAUGGAUGGAGAGCAUUUUUGUUCUCUGAAGGAUUAGAAAUGACAACAUCUGAGAGGGAGAGAAAGUUGGGUAGCUCUUAGAAAUUAUGGGUUGGGCCUAACUCAAUCCUACAACACCGUAUUGUCAGGUGAGGAUUGCUUCUACUUAUUAGCCCAUGUUCAAGCUAUCUCACAUCCAANNNNNNNNNNNNNNNNNNNNNNNNNNNNNNNNNNNNNNNNNNNNNNNNNNNNNNNNNNNNNNUUUGGGCAUGUAGAGAGAAGACCUUUAGAUUCUGCAAACAGAGUACCUAGGUGGAGGGUAGUCAAAUCAUUAGUGGCAGUGAAAGACCUAAAAAACCUAUAAGAGAAACUAUUAAAAAAGAUCUUGAAAUUGAUGAGUUGCAUAGGGAUAUGAUAGAACACUAUGGCAUCAUUUGAUCCAUGUAGCUGACCCCACUUAGUGGGAUAAUGCUUGGAUGUUGUUGAAGGGGCUUUGCUCUAGGCAGCGAUAGGAAUACUCAUUUUUCUGAAAUAUCUUCAUUUCAGAAUUGUUGUUCUCUGAAGGAGCUUAGCUCGGGGUUGGGGCAGUAGGCAUACUCAUUCCUAUGUAAUCACUUCAUUUCAGAAAUAAUACACGCUUUCAUUUUAUUACUGAACUGUUUGUGUUCCUUUAAUUUCUGCUGCUACUUUCAGGGUUCUAUCAGUGCCCGUUUUCUUUCGAAUUUCUGUUUCUAGAGAAUAGUCGUUUAGUAAGGAAUUACGAUGCAUUUCAUUCUCCAUUGUUUAAAUUUAAAGCUUAUUGGUUUUAUGAAAGUGAAAAAUCCCAUUUUAAAUGAGGAGGAUCUAGGGCAGAAUAGAACUUUUUUGGAUGGUAAAUUAUGCAAAAUUGAGUGAUUAAGCAGAUUAGGACAAGCCUCUAAGAAAGGGACAUUUACCAUGCAUACAUCUUCUCAAAACUUGACUUGGUCAUAUAGCUAACUAUGUUUGGUAAAUGAAAGUGUUGUAAAGACAUGAAAAACGAUGCAAAGUUGGUGUUAUAAUUUUAUUUUCCAUUUUAAAAAUGCAUGUCCAACACUGUUGUCAAUUCAUGAUUAAGCCAGUUACAUUAAACUGCUGCAAACCUACCACCGUAAGCUACUUAGAAAAAAUCAUUUAGGAUAACAGUGAUUCGAUGUAUAAAACAUUUUGUAUGCAUCCAAAUGUAAGUUAUGCUAUAUGCUUAAACAAACUAUGUUGCAUUCGGCACAUUUGGGUCGGUUUUUAGUUUAAGUAUUGAGAUUUUUGAAAAACAAAACUAGUUCAGUUUUAAGUUUCAGUUUUUGCGGUAUAUCAAAACCAACACUAGUUUUCAGCUGCCAACCUUAUAAUUUCCUAGGUGCUGCCACUGUUGUUAGGCGUCCUCUACCACUGCCACUGCUCAUGACACACCACUGUCACUGACUCUGGACACACGCCACUGCUGUUUGCAUCGCUUGGCACUUUCCGUUGCCAUUCUGUGGCACCCUCUAGCGCUAUCACCAACGCCGAACACCUUCCAGUGCAGUUGCUGCUACUCGUCAUUCCUCUGACACUGCCAUCAGCCCCCCUCUGUCGUCAUUGUCUGGCUCCCUCCAUUGUCUUCACUGCUAUGUAACCCUCUGCUCUGUCGCCAUCAUAGAAAGACUAGAAUUGAUUUAUUUUUUUUUUUGAAAACUUAUAAAGUAUGCAUUUGAAAACCUAAAACUACAACCAUCAGUUGGGAUCCAUAGUUUGAGACUUACUUGGACAAUAAUGUGCUUAUGAAGUUGUGUUUUCCUAAGUUUCGUAAUGGAUUUUAGUUGUUUGUGACUAUGGGAUAUGUGUUCUUUGCUGCUUUAUGAUAUUUAUUUACUUAAAUGAAUAGAAUCGUUAGAUUGCUUCAUCCUCGCCGCGAGCCAAAUAUCUAGUCUAACUCUAAAUAGAAGUUGGUAGGAGCAUAUUCAUAUGUGGAAGUUAAAGGAUGAGCUCAGUUGAUUACUUUUUGAGUUGCAUCUAUGGGUAUAAUGGAAAGAGUUUUUGUUGACUAAUGCUUCAUAUUUAAUGGAAAUGAAUACGUUAUAAUUAUAUAGUAUGUUUUUCUUAACUUUGGUGUUAAUCUUUGUCUGUUGAUGCUUUCGAUAUUGUUAUGUAG
RNAcentral lists this long non-coding RNA (3062 nucleotides) under Trifolium pratense (red clover). RNAcentral's name for it is "long non-coding RNA (TPRA_LNC011937)". Lineage: Eukaryota; Viridiplantae; Streptophyta; Magnoliopsida; Fabales; Fabaceae. The record is from RNAcentral.